UGCAUUUUCUGAUACCUUCAUAUUCUCCCAUUUCAUUGAAAAUUUUCAAAAUUAGUAACAAACUAACAAUAAUCAAAACUUAGAAUCCUCAGUUACACAGUAAACCAUCAAUUUCAGAGUGUAGUUAUGCCGGUGGUUACAGUGAGUAUGUUUUGGUAGUUUGAAUCGGUUGUGACAAGUCCUUGUUGAUAUACACAUACGAUUCAUUAUGUUG
Molecule: long non-coding RNA, 214 nt
Filed under: Trifolium pratense (red clover)
Lineage: Eukaryota; Viridiplantae; Streptophyta; Magnoliopsida; Fabales; Fabaceae
Description: long non-coding RNA (TPRA_LNC004511)
Source: RNAcentral